This 509-nucleotide ribosomal RNA is filed under the name uncultured bacterium. RNAcentral's name for it is "bacterial SSU rRNA". It matches the Rfam family "Bacterial small subunit ribosomal RNA", at positions 28 to 526 of the family's 1533-position model. The record is from RNAcentral.
GAUGAACGCUGGCGGCAUGCCUAAUACAUGCAAGUCGAACGCAAUCGCCCUUCGGGGCAAUGAUUGAGUGGCGAACGGGUGAGUAACACGUAGGAAACCUACCCAUAAGACGAGGAUAACUACUGGAAACGGUAGCUAAUACUGGAUAGCAUAUUUUACCGCAUGGUGAAAUAUUUAAAGGAGCGUAUGCUUCACUUAUGGAUGGUCCUGCGGCGCAUUAGCUAGUUGGUAAGGUAACGGCUUACCAAGGCGACGAUGCGUAGCUGAGCUGAGAGGCUGAUCAGCCACACUGGGACUGAGACACGGCCCAGACUCCUACGGGAGGCAGCAGUAGGGAAUUUUCGGCAAUGGGGGAACCCUGACCGAGCAAUGCCGCGUGAAUGAAGAAGGUCUUCGGAUCGUAAAAUUCUGUUGUUAGGGAAGAAUAGUAGAUAUAGGAAAUGAUAUCUAUGUGACGGUACCUAACCAGAAAGCUCCGGCUAACUACGUGCCAGCCGCCGCCGUAACAC